Molecule: long non-coding RNA, 1016 nt
Organism: Ctenocephalides felis (cat flea)
Lineage: Eukaryota; Metazoa; Arthropoda; Insecta; Siphonaptera; Pulicidae
Exons: 6
Source: RefSeq, a predicted model, not a curated record
AUCGUCUUUAGUAUGAGACGGACCUCCCCAGUGAUAAGAACAAUGGAAGAAAGUGCUUUGGAUUAUCAAGGUCCAGACUUGCAUAAACUUAUCUAAACUCGAGAAGCAGUACUAAGAACAGUGAAGCGUUUCUUCAGCAUGAGAAAUAUAUUUUAUCUAUUUCGUAUCUUGGAUCAAAAGUGCGGUGCUACCACAAAGCCUUGUUUCUUUAACAGGUUUAUGAUCCACUGAUUGUGUGAGAAUGAUGGAAGUUUCUUAUCAAAAGUGCGGAGAUACCAAAAAAUCUAUUCAUGAUCCAGUGGUGGUGGAAGUGUUUUUUUUAGUUUAGCUAAUUUAAAGUUUUUAAGUUUUAAAGUUUUAAAGUUUAAGUUUCAAAAAUGUAGUGUGUAAAGUGUUAGUGGGUGUAAGACUGAUUAAAAUGCCAAAAUCAAUAGGCCCUUAGUGCAAAGGUGUAUGUUCCUGGUUUUUGGAUAUGCUAGCUGGUAUAUAUUAAGUUGCUGAUUGCUGGUAAUCCUGUAUUGGUGAUUAUUAGUUGCUGGUUGCUGAGAAUGCUGGUACGAGCAAGAAUAAAGCAUAGUGGCAGAUCGAUAAAGGUAGGUCAACUCAAGAUAUUGUUGCUGAGAUGGGCGUGAGGGUAAGUCCAGUUGCAUGUUUUCUUUAUUAUAAUAAAAUCAUUAUAAAAUGUUAUUUCAAAGUUUGUAUUUUUUCAAUACUAAAGUUUGAAAUGCAUAUUAUAAUGAAGCCAAAACUUAUUUCAUUUUAUGUCGUUUUUUGAAACAUUUUGUUUCGAGUAUUUGAAUUGGUGUUUUUUAAAGUUUAUUUUUUUCAAUAAGUUUUCAGUGCAUAGUGUGUAUUAUAGUGAGUGAAGUGUUGAAUAACAUAUCAAGAAGUGUCCCUCAGUCCAAAGCUACGCCCGGAUAUAGUCGAAAUUUUCAAUCAUGAUCACUUUUUUAUAACACAUUUUAUUCAGUUUAACUUCAAUUAAAUUUCAGUUUUCAUUAUUUAGUUCUUUAUUC